GACGUAGGGCGCGAGCGUUGUCCGGAUUUAUUGGGCGUAAAGAGCUCGUAGGCGGCCAAGUCAGUCGAAUGUGAAAGCCCCCGGCUUAACUGGGGAGGGUCAUUCGAUACUGCUCGGCUCGAAGACAGGAGAGGGAAGCGGAAUUCCCGGUGUAGUGGUGAAAUGCGUAGAUAUCGGGAGGAACACCAGUGGCGAAGGCGGCUUUCUGGCCUGUUCUUGACGCUGAGGCGCGAAAGCUAGGGGAGCAAACGGG
Molecule: ribosomal RNA, 253 nt
Filed under: uncultured bacterium
Lineage: Bacteria
Description: partial 16S ribosomal RNA
Rfam family: Bacterial small subunit ribosomal RNA
Source: RNAcentral